This 2400-nucleotide long non-coding RNA is filed under the name Homo sapiens (human). Its description in RNAcentral is "non-protein coding lnc-LPCAT1-4:14". The record is from RNAcentral. Lineage: Eukaryota; Metazoa; Chordata; Mammalia; Primates; Hominidae.
GUCGCUCUGAGGGGUCGCCAGUCGCCGCAGGCGCUUCAGCCCAGCGGCGGGCCUUGGCCCUUGGCUGCCUACUCCUACCGCCCCAGCCCCGGGCGGCCCUGGGCCUGCUGCGGGCGCGGCGCUGCCCGACCAGAGCUUCCUGUGGAACGUCUUCCAGAGGGUCGAUAAAGACAGGAGUGGAGUGAUAUCAGACACCGAGCUUCAGCAAGCUCUCUCCAACGGCACGUGGACUCCCUUUAAUCCAGUGACUGUCAGGUCGAUCAUAUACUACACUGAAGGCUGGUUACGCUCUUAUGUGCAAUAGAACCUCAAACACAUCGUAACACACCUUUGGAGAAUCCUUACAAGAACACCAAGUUAACAGUUAUCUCUGACCACACUACCUCAGCAAAAAACCAGGAAGAAAAAAUAUUCUUCAACCCUUUUCAGGGACAGAAAGCAUCAUUUCAAAAGUCCAAGAAGGGAAGCAAAACUUCUGACCUGAGACAUCGAAGCAGAUAAAAAGCCGCUACACAAAAUGUAUCGCUACAACUAGAGGGCAGUCUUGCCUUUCUUCCAUUCAAUUAUUCAGUUUCUCAUGUUCCUAAGUGCCAGCCCAGAACCAUGGAAUGUGAAGAAACACAAAACUCACUCCUCUGCAUCAGUGAAUUGAUUGUGUGGUGGGGAUGUAAGUCUGCAUGUGACUGACAGUUCCCCAAAGUGGUGCCAAGUCAAUCUAAACUAGAGAGAAUUUCUGGCCAGGCCAAGCAGAGAUUUCAUGGAUGAAGUCUCCCAAAGACUGAUUUCCUAAACAUUAAACAUCACUGGUUUUCCAAAACUGGUUUUCUUUUUUUUUUUUUAACCCUGUUUCUCAGGCUGGAGGGCAAGUGGUGCCAUCUCCACUCACUGCAGCCUCGACCUCCCAGGCUCCACUGAUCUUCCCACCUCAGCCUCCUGAGUAGCUGGGACUACAGGUGUGCACCGCCACGACUCGCUAAUUUUUGUAUUUUUUGUAGAGACGGGGUUUUGCUGUGUUGCUCAGGCUGGUCACUCGAUCUGCCCACCUGGGUCUCGCAGAGUGCUGGGGUUACAGGUAUGAGCCACCACGCCCAGCCCACUGGUUUCCUUUACACCCGUUUUGUUCCCCAGCAGUCCUUAUGAGGGCACCUGAAAUAAGGAACCUCCUCCCCGACUUGAGAGCAGCAAAGCCUUCAGAGGGAACUAAGUUAUUAAAACCCACCCCACACAAAAUGCUUCUAAACGCCUUGGCUGACUUAAUCCUUGCAGUGUGCUGAGGUUAAGUAUGAUUAUCCAUCUCCUGUGAACAGGAAGACUGAGGCUCAGAGCUUAAGUGAUUUGCCCACGGUUCACUGCAGGGGAUAAAACUCGGCUGUCCCUGGCAGGUCCCAAAGUCACGGCCUUCAGGCUCCCACACCAUGCUGCCUCCCUCACCGGGGCUCCACACUCUCAGCCUGGAAAACACUAAUUUUAAGAAAACCAUGACUUACGAAAAGCAGCCAAUCCCAGCAUUGGAACCAACAGGGCAUAAUUCCACCUGCUUCCAUCACCACCAUCCGCCCUGGAAUUAGGCCGGAUAUUCCAAUUUGGGGGAUCAUUUAGGUUAUUCAUGGAGAUAUACCUUGAAGUAAAGAAUAAAAACGUUAACUACUUUUAUUCAAGAAAUUUUUCUUCAGUUUUAACUAUGUGCUUGCUGCACAGCACUGAGGCCCUACGGGAUUCAAAGAAGAAAAAAACUAGACCAGAGCCGGGCAUGGUGGCGGGCACCUGUAGUCCCAGCUACUCGGGAGGCUGAGGCAGGAGAAUCGCUUGAACCUGGGAGGUGAAGGUUGCAGUGAGUCGAGGUCGCGCCACUGCACUCCAGCCUGGUGACAGAACGAGACUCCGUCUCAAAAAAAAAGAAAAAGAAAAAGGAAAAAAAAACAAGACCUUAGGUGAAAGCGACUCACAAUCUGGUUGGGGAAAGUGGAGAAAACAGACAUGUCUUAAGCAUCUGAAGUGCAGGUAGAAUCAGGUCCUGAGGCACGUGAAUGGCCAGGAUCAGAUUGUGCCCGGCCUGUACGCCUGUGGGGAGGCCGCCUGUGCCUCGGUACAUGGUGCCAAUCGGCUCGGGGCAAACUCGCUCUUGGACUUGGUUGUCUUUGGUCAGGCAUGUGCCCUGAGCAUCGAAGAGUCAUGCAGGCCUGGAGAUAAAGUCCCUCCAAUUAAACCAAACGCUGGGGAAGAAUCUGUCAUGAAUCUUGACAAAUUGAGAUUUGCUGAUGGAAGCAUAAGAACAUGAGAACUGCGACUCAGCAUGCAGAAGGGCUGCUGGCUUGUGUCACGUUCACCACCAGACCCCGCGUCAGGAGUCCCGCCAGGGGUGUGGGGAGGCAGCACUGCCUGGUUGGCCGUGGAGCUGUA